RNAcentral lists this long non-coding RNA (465 nucleotides) under Manihot esculenta (cassava). RNAcentral describes it as "long non-coding RNA (MESC_LNC003907)". The record is from RNAcentral. Lineage: Eukaryota; Viridiplantae; Streptophyta; Magnoliopsida; Malpighiales; Euphorbiaceae.
UUUCUUUGAUCUGCAUUGUUAUCGCCGGCGCCGGAGCGCAAUCUCCGGUUAAUCCUCCGACUACCACCCCUGCUCCACCGACUACCACUCCUCCCCCAACUUCAGCUCCUCCUCCAGUAACCCAAUCUCCACCUCCUGCUACUCCUCCUCCAGUUUCAACUCCACCACCGGCUACUCCACCUCCUGCAUCUCCUCCCCCAGCCACUCCUCCUCCAGCCACUCCUCCACCUGCAUCACCUCCACCUGCAUCUCCUCCACCUGCUACUCCACCCCCAGCCACUCCUCCACCUGCUACUCCUCCACCUGCUUCUCCCCCUCCUGCUACUCCACCUCCAGCUUCUCCACCACCUGCUACACCACCACCAGCAACUCCUCCUCCUGCUACUCCACCACCGGCUCCUCUCGCUGCUCCACCUGCUCAGGUUCCAGCUCCUGCUCCAAGCAAGAAGAAGUUGAAGGCUCCAG